CCUACGGGUGGCAGCAGUGAGGAAUAUUGGUCAAUGGACGAGAGUCUGAACCAGCCAAGUAGCGUGAAGGAUGACUGCCCUAUGGGUUGUAAACUUCUUUUAUAUGGGAAUAAAACGUUCCACGUGUGGGAUUUUGUAUGUACCAUAUGAAUAAGGAUCGGCUAACUCCGUGCCAGCAGCCGCGGUAAUACGGAGGAUCCGAGCGUUAUCCGGAUUUAUUGGGUUUAAAGGGAGCGUAGGUGGAUUGUUAAGUCAGUUGUGAAAGUUUGCGGCUCAAACGUAAAAUUGCAGUGGACACUGGCAGUCUUGAGUACAGUAGAGGUGGGCGGAAUUCGUGGUGUAGCGGUGAAAUGCUUAGAUAUCACGAAGAACUCCGAUUGCGAAGGCAGUUCACUGGACUGCAACUGACACUGAGGCUCGAAAGUGGGGGUAUCAAACAGGAUUAGAUACCCCAGUAGUC
This 460-nucleotide ribosomal RNA is filed under the name uncultured bacterium. Its description in RNAcentral is "partial 16S ribosomal RNA". It matches the Rfam family "Bacterial small subunit ribosomal RNA", at positions 338 to 795 of the family's 1533-position model. The record is from RNAcentral.